CCUACGGGAGACAGCAGUGGGGAAUAUUACACAAUGGGGGAAACCCUGAUGCAGCGACGCCGCGUGAGUGAAGAAGUAAUUCGUUAUGUAAAGCUCUAUCAGCAGGGAAGAAAAUGACGGUACCUGAGUAAGAAGCCCCGGCUAACUACGUGCCAGCAGCCGCGGUCAUACGUAGGGGGCAGGCGUUAUCCGGUUUUACUGGGUGUAAAGGGAGCGUAGACGGCAGUGCAAGCCUGGAGUGAAAGGCGGGGGCUCAACCCCCGGACUGCUCUGGAAACUGUACGGCUGGAGUGCAGGAGAGGUAAGUGGAAUUCCUAGUGGAGCGGUGAAAUGCGUAGAUAUUAGGAGGAACACCAGUGGCGAAGGCGGCUUACUGGACUGUAACUGACGUUGAGGCUCGAAAGCGUGGGGAGCAAACAGGAUUAGAUACCCCUGUAGUC
Molecule: ribosomal RNA, 440 nt
Filed under: uncultured bacterium
Lineage: Bacteria
Description: partial 16S ribosomal RNA
Rfam family: Bacterial small subunit ribosomal RNA
Source: RNAcentral